RNAcentral lists this ribosomal RNA (332 nucleotides) under uncultured bacterium. RNAcentral's name for it is "partial 16S ribosomal RNA". It matches the Rfam family "Bacterial small subunit ribosomal RNA", at positions 338 to 668 of the family's 1533-position model. The record is from RNAcentral.
CCUACGGGCGGCAGCAGUGAGGAAUAUUGGUCAAUGGCCGGAAGGCUGAACCAGCCAAGCCGCGUGAAGGACGAAGGUGCCAAGCAUUGUAAACUUCUUUUGUCAAAGGACAAAAUCAGGCACGAGAGCCUGACCGAGGGUACUUGACGAAAAAGCAUCGGCUAACUCCGUGCCAGCAGCCGCGGUAAUACGGAGGAUGCGAGCGUUAUCCGGAUUUAUUGGGUUUAAAGGGUGCGUAGGCGGACGGUUAAGUCAGCGGUAAAAGCCCGGGGCUCAACUCCGGCGAGCCGUUGAAACGGGCUGUCUAGAGAUGAGGGGAGGUAGGCGGAAUG